CCUACGGGGGGCUGCAGUGGGGAAUCUUGCACAAUGGGCGCAAGCCUGAUGCAGCCAUGCCGCGUGUAUGAAGAAGGCCUUCGGGUUGUAAAGUACUUUCAGUCGUGAGGAAGGUGUUAAGGUUAAUAACCUUAGCAAUUGACGUUAGCGACAGAAGAAGCACCGGCUAACUCCGUGCCAGCAGCCGCGGUAAUACGGAGGGUGCGAGCGUUAAUCGGAAUUACUGGGCGUAAAGGGCACGCAGGCGGUUAAUUAAGUUGAAUGUGAAAUCCCCGGGCUUAACCAGGGGAUGGCAUUCAAGACUGGUUAGCUAGAGUCUUGUAGAGGGGGGUAGAAUUCCAUGUGUGGUGGUGAAAUGCGUAGGGAUGUGAAGGAAUUCCGGUGGCGAAGGCGGCCACCUGGACAGAGACUGAGGUGCACGUGCUAGAGCGUGGGAAGCAAACAGAAUUAGUUACCGAGGUAGUC
This 465-nucleotide ribosomal RNA is filed under the name uncultured Arsenophonus sp. Its description in RNAcentral is "bacterial SSU rRNA". It matches the Rfam family "Bacterial small subunit ribosomal RNA", at positions 338 to 795 of the family's 1533-position model. Lineage: Bacteria; Pseudomonadati; Pseudomonadota; Gammaproteobacteria; Enterobacterales; Morganellaceae. The record is from RNAcentral.